GUCUCGCUUUGCUGAUUGACUAGAUGUGGAGAAGGAAGGAAAGAAAGGGAUUAAAUUUGGCCCCAAAAAUUUUUGGCUUGACUGACGUGAGAGAAGGAAUUGCCGUUUACUGACACAGAGAACACUGAAAGAAGAGGAACUCGGGGGCAAAGAAAUAGAGCAUUCCCGUGUCCCAGAAGCCCGUUGAGUGCUUGUUCCCAGUCGUGACCCUCCCAACCCCUUCCAUCGACCGGCCCCAAGCUAACUGCUGCUGAUCCUCCUCUUUUUGCUGAGGAAGACUGGCCCUGAGCUGACAUCCACGCCCAUCUUCCUCCACUUUAUAUGUGGGACACCUACCA
This 338-nucleotide long non-coding RNA is filed under the name Equus caballus (horse). RNAcentral describes it as "lncRNA (ENSECAG00000052980.1)". Lineage: Eukaryota; Metazoa; Chordata; Mammalia; Perissodactyla; Equidae. The record is from RNAcentral.